Molecule: ribosomal RNA, 301 nt
Filed under: uncultured bacterium
Lineage: Bacteria
Description: partial 16S ribosomal RNA
Rfam family: Bacterial small subunit ribosomal RNA
Source: RNAcentral
CAGCAGCCGCGGUAAUACGGAGGGCGCGAGCGUUACCCGGAUUUACUGGGCGUAAAGGGCGUGUAGGCGGCCUGGGGCGUCCCAUGUGAAAGGCCACGGCUCAACCGUGGAGGAGCGUGAGAUACGCUCAGGCUAGAGGGUGGGAGAGGGUGGUGGAAUUCCCGGAGUAGCGGUGAAAUGCGCAGAUACCGGGAGGAACGCCGAUGGCGAAGGCAGCCACCUGGUCCACUUCUGACGCUGAGGCGCGAAAGCGUGGGGAGCAAACCGGAUUAGAUACCCCAGUAGUCCCUGUCUCUUAUAA